UUUGCCAAAUGAUUAUAAUGGCGAUUCUGAUCCAACCAUAAAUUCAUACAUUGUGCCCCUGGCCUGAGAGGAUGGAAGUUCAACAUGUCGUUACAGUGGAUGUAGUAUGCUAAUGUUAACUAGCUGGCCUGGCUUAUCUUUCCUAUGAAAGUAAGUUAGGCGAGCAAGUAUUUUAGCCAGGUAGCCUAGGACAACAAAAACUAAAUGGCGUGUACUGUAUGACAGAGUCAGACCGUUUAGUCAACAUGAAAGAGGAGGAUGGCGUUGGCGUUUCUCUACAAGUAGACCAUUCCCCCAGUACACUCUCUCUCUCCCCCUCCCUUUCUGUUUGUGUGUGAUUGUGUGGUUGUAGACAGGUGUGCUGGAGUCAGAGCAGAUCCCUACCAGCUGCAACUCGUUCCAUUAUCAAGACCUCUACAAAUUCUCAGUUCUGCCACUUCCACUCUGCUAGAUCGUAAUCUCUGCUCAUUUUGCCGCUCUGACUCUGGCUCCUGUCUCCUGUUCCACAUCUCACCACCCUGCUACCCUGUUCUGGAUUCACCACACCACCACUCCCUUGGAUUCCCCUCCGGACCUGUUUACCCUCAAUCAACAUGACCAAGCUCUUAAAACCCUUCUGGAGACUAUCAAUGAGUUUUCACAGAACCUGUCUGUCCUACAGAGUCAAACCUUCGCCCAAAGCUCACAACCUGUCCCUCCGCUCCGCCCCGGGAGCCGAUUGUUCCUACUCCAGAGCGCUACGAUGGUAAUCUCGGAACCUGCAGAGCCUUUUUGGUACAAUGUUUACUAGUAUUUGAGCAACAGUUCUACUCUUAUGCUCGUGAAAGAGCCAAGAUUUCAAUUUUUUUAAAUUUGUUGCCUCUGUGGAGCAGCGCUUUCCUGGGCCCUGCUGUGUGGGAGAGACAGUCACCCAUUUGCUUCUCCUAUAGUAGAUUCAUGGAGGAGAUGAGAAAGGUUUUUGACCACAUGGUUUGUGGAAAGGACGCUGCAAAACGACUCCUGUCCCUCCAUCAAGGCUCCCAGAGUGUUGCUGAAAUGGCAUGUGAGUUCAGCACCCUCGCCGCAGAGAGCGGCUGGGAUGAGGAGGCUCUUCAGGGAGCAUUCCGGAACUCACUGAGACUCUAAAGGACGAGUUGGUGUCCAGGGAGGAGACUGAUCUUGAUGAACUCAUUUCUCUCACUAUCUGCAUUGACAACCGUCUCCGGGAGCGGCGGAGGGAGAGGGUAGUUAAGGUUGCAAGUUCCUUAACAUCUGCUUCAGUGCCUUGUUAUUUUCCUUCGACUGUAUCCCAACCCCAGGCAUGUUCUGAACCUGAACCCAUGCAGCUCGGCCGGACCCAUCUAUCUCCGGAGGAGAGGCAGCGGCGUGUCGAUACUAGGAGCUGUCUAUACUGUGGCCAGGUUGGUCACCUGGUUUCCACUUGUUCCCUGCGUCCAGUAAGAAGAGGCUCGGGCGAUAUGGGGAAAAUACUAUUGGGUCAAAUCGCCUGCCCAUUUUCCCCCAGACCCAUGUUUGAGGCCAACCUUGUGUGGCAGCCAGGCUUUUCCUCUAGCUGCUCUUAUAGAUUCAGGUGCCGACGAGAGCUUUUUGGACCGAGGUGUUGUCAACCAGUUGGGCCUGGACACUGUUCCACUUAAUUCACCUCUCGAUGCCUACGCUCUCAAUGGUAAACUUCUCUCCCGUGUCUGUGAGAAAACCGUUCCAGUCAUCCAGCGUCUCUCUGGUAAUCACCAAGAAAAAAAUCAGUUUCCACAUAAUCGACAGUCCCUAUUCUCCUCUGGUUCUGGGUCAUCCAUGGUUAAAACUACACAACCCACAGAUUGACUGGACCACCGGGAGGGUUACUACUUGGAGUACAUUUUGUCAUUCCAAUUGUCUACAUUCUGUCCUUCCACCUGCCUUGUCUGUACCCCAGUCCAUUCUAGAACCCCCAGACCUGUCUUCUGUUCCUCCAGAGUAUCACAGUUUAGCUUCUGUAUUCAGUAAGCACCACACCCCGUCUCUGCCGCCUCAUCGCUCAUACGUCUGUGAUAUUGACCUCAAGCCUGGAGCUCCCCUCCCCAGUAGCAGGUUGUAUAACCUUUCUCGCCCCAGAUCUAAGAAUACCAAGCCUGACACCUUCUCCCGUCAGUUCACCGCAGACAACACAGGUUCCGAGCCAGAAACCAUUAUGGCAUCCUCCUGCAUCGUUGCUGCUGUCUUCUGGGAGAUUGAGUCCUGUGUUCGUCAGGCUCAGCUGAACCAGUCUGAUCCAGGAAACGGUUCUUGUAAGGCUCUGUUUGUGCCAGAUUCAGUUUGCUCUGAAAUUCUUUAGUUGGCCCAUGCUACUCACCUUACCUGUCACCCUGGUAUGAACCGGACUGUCGCCUUCCUGCGGUAGCGAUUUUGGUGGCCCACCAUGGUGAGAGACGCUCGGGAAUUCAUCUCAGCCUGCUCGAUCUGUGCCCGGAACAAAACUUCCAUCAAACCUACGUCCAGUCGGCUUCGCCCUCUUCCCAUACCCAGUCGCCCCUGGUCACACAUAGCUCAGGACUUCAUCACUGGCCUUCCUCCAUCUAAUGGUAACUCAGUCCAGGACCACAGGUGCCGUUGUCAUUGCACCUGGAGGAGGGACCGGUCUGUUCUUCGUGCCUCCGCCAGGACCCAAUCCCAAGCUAACCGUUGCCGUGCUCCAGUCUUUUUAAAAUAUUUGAUUUUACCUUUAUUUAACUAGGCAAGUCAGUUAAGAACAAAUUCUUAUUUUCAAUGACGGCCUAGGAACAGUGGGUUAACUGCCUUGUUCAGGGGCAGAAUGGCAGAUUUGACCACUAGGGGGUGUCAAAAGGAUUUUCAUACCUCACACCCUGACAAAGCCGGGUUGUGCACCAGGUGGCGCCCGUGGGGGGCGGGGGGUGUAUUGUCACAUCUGCUCCUGCCACACCCCCUAGUGGUCAUUCGGUGUCUGCUUGACCUGCAGCCAUUCCCCCAGUACUCUCUCUCUCUCUCUCUCUCUCUCUCUCUCUCUCUCUCUCUCUCUCUCUCUCUCUCUCCACUGCUUUUGAGGGGCAUCUGUCCAUUUAGAAGUUUUGACCAAUGGGUGUACUGCUAGUUCUGCUCCCCAUGGGACCCCAUAGGCUCACGUGGAUAGGCGGAGUUGAAGGUAAAGACAAAAUGAUGAACCUGGACAUUAAAACACUGGCGGAUUUCCUGGAAACUGAGGAGUCCAUUCAAAUUGUAUAUGUCUUUGAAAGUAUACAUAUCCUUCUUAGACCAAGAAUCUGAUAUAAAUGGUUUCUUACACGAUAAUAAUUAUUUAUUACGCCAUAUUGGAGAUUAUGAAUGCAAUUUAAGAUUAGAUCUCAUAUGCUUCUCUGUAGCUUUCCACACAUUUACUGAGUGUGCUAUAAUGGGUCCAAACAAUAAUGCACAUUUUCUAGGAGUCAAUCCAGAAAAUAAUACAUCUUGUAAUCUAAUUGGGGAAACUAUUGACUCUUCUAUAGCACGCCAAGGAACAGAAGCCUCUGGGUUUAUCCAGGUCUUCAGUAAAUUCAUUUGGAAUGAUAGGUGAUACAUUUUGGGGAUUUUGAACUGCAAGUCCACCUGAUGCUUUUGUUCUCUGUAGUGUUGCAUAUUUAAUCUGUGGUCUCUUUCUCCCCCAAAUGAACUUAUUCAUGACAGAGUAAAGUUUAGACCAAUGGUCUACAGGAGGAGGCAGUGGUAACAUGGAACUCAUAAAAUUGAUAUGAGGAAGGACAUUCAUUUUGAUAAUUGAGAUUCUAGCAUGCAAAUAAGUGGCCAUAUCAGACCAUCUUUUUAUGUAUUUUUCUAAGUAGUUCUUCCUGCCAGUAGUGUGAAUAGAUGGGUAUAUGGUAAUGCCUAAGUAGGUGAUUUGUUUCUUCACUGGGAUCAUGGGUGAUAGUUGCAUGCUUCCCAUAGCUGAGUUAAGAGAUAGUAGAGCUGAUUUAUACCAGUUGCUCUGAAAAUAGACAUUAUUGGCUGGAGGGAUUUCUGAGCGUUUGCGACGUAGAGCAGUAUGUCAUCCCAUGUGGCUCAGUUGGUAGAGCAUGGUGUUUGCAACACCAGGGUUGUGGGUUCGAUUCCCACGGGGGACCAGUACGGAGAAAAAAAUGUAUGAAAUGUAUGCAUUCACUACUGUAAGUCGCUCUGGAUAAGAGCGUCUGCUAAAUGACUAAAAUGUAAAUGUUUGUUUGAUUUUGAUAUGUGAGGAAGCCGAAUUCUGACGUAUGCUUUGUGCCAGCGGUUCAAGAGGGAGCAAAUAGCAUAGUGGAGGCGGGACAGCCUUGUUUACGUCGUCGUUGUAUGAUAAAUGGAUUAGAAUGGUUAGUGCCAGUAGAUAUAAUAGAAGAAUGAUUCACAUACAUGGUGCGAAUAAUUUGUCUAAAUCUGGUCCCAAAACCAAAAUGUUCAAGAACAAGCCAUAAAUAUUGCCACUCUAAGCAGUCAAAGGCUUUCUCUGCAUCUAAUGAUAACACAGCAGACGGGGUAUCCAGAAAGGAAGCCUCAGCAACCACAUGAAACAGGCAGCACAUGUUAUCGGCUGCCUGACGAUCCUUAAUAAACCCUGCUUGUUCAGGAUGUGUAGAGCUUGUUAAUAACUAUCUCUUGGUGCAUGGCUAGAACUUUGGCAUACAUCUUCAUUUAUGUUCCGAUUAAACUGAUUGGCCGAAAAUUAGCACAAUUUGUGAGGUCUUUUCCUUUCUUAGGUAUAUAAUAGCUGUAUUGAUGUUUCUGUGGAGCUGUCCUUUUUCAAUAGCAAUGUUAAGAGAUUCAAGAAUAACUGGUCCUAGCUCAUCCCAAAUUUUGAGAAUGAGUUCAGGAGGUAUUCCAUCAAUACCAGGCGAUUUUUUUUUUUUGUUGAUUUUUUAUUUUAUUUUUUUUAUAUAUUUUUUUAAUUAUUAUUAUUAUUUUUUUUAAAUCUCUUAUUUAAAAGAGCAGCUUUCAGUUCAGAUAAAGUGACAGGUUCUUCUAAUAAAAUUAUUUAUUCUUGAGAAUGUUUGGGCAACGUAAGGUUUUCCAGGAACUGCCGACAAGCAGUGGUAUCAAAGCUAUGUGAUGAACUGUAUAAAUCUGAAUAAUAUGCUCUAAAAGUUGCAUUUAUUUCUGUAGGAUCCAGAUUUCAAUCCCCUAGUAGAUCUGAUCAACUGUAUUAAUCUUGUUUAAGCUGAAGUGACAGUAAGUGGCUAGGACUACUCCCUUAAAUAGUGUUUUUGUCACACCCUUUGCAUAAUGAAUUCUGCUCUACGUCGCAACAGGUCAUUAAGUUACUGUGUAAUUGUUCUUAGCUCAAUUUCUCUCUCUGUUGAAUAGUUAUUUUUAAGAGAGUCUUCCUGCAUUUUACAAUGAUUUUCGAAUCACAGAUUUUCUGUAAAUUAGAGGAAAAAUGUGUAGUGUUUCCUCUUAUGAAACCUUUAACAGCUAACCAUACCAUAGUUGAGUCCUCCUUAUUUCUUAAAAUUAUUUUAAAUUGAAUCUAAACUGAAAGAUGAAGUCAGAG
RNAcentral lists this long non-coding RNA (5494 nucleotides) under Salmo salar (Atlantic salmon). RNAcentral's name for it is "lncRNA (ENSSSAG00000110653.1)". The stretch from base 4121 to 4174 matches the Rfam family "UnaL2 LINE 3' element". The record is from RNAcentral. Lineage: Eukaryota; Metazoa; Chordata; Actinopteri; Salmoniformes; Salmonidae.